Long non-coding RNA from Trichechus manatus latirostris (Florida manatee), 783 nucleotides. RefSeq lists it as uncharacterized. The transcript has 3 exons. Lineage: Eukaryota; Metazoa; Chordata; Mammalia; Sirenia; Trichechidae. The record is from RefSeq and is a predicted model, not a curated record.
CCUAGCAGCUGUCGCAGCGCCGACUCCCGCAGGAGACGUGGAAAAGCACGUGGGCUGCUCGCAGGGAGGUGGCUUUCCUUGCAGGAGUGGAUCUAAAACCAAGAAAUUCGGCUGAUUUUCAACUAGGAGUUCUGAGGCAAAUUUCUUCUCUGAACCUCCAUUUCUUCAUUUUCAAAAUGGCAGUCAUACCUACCUCAAAGGAUAUUGUGAAAACAUAUGAAGUAAUGUACGUUCCUUCCUUGACCGUGGCUUGGGCUCAAUGUGUUCCAGGGGCACAGCGUCUCAGAGAAGAGCAACCUAAUCGCUGCUGGGCUCAGCCACUGGCCCCUGGAGGAAGGUUCUGGAUAUUGCAAGGCCCCAAGUUACUAGGCAAUGUGGGGACUGUGCAUUCAUUUUGCAGCUAAGCUGGACUGAAGAACUCUUUUCUAACCCUUUAUUUCCCCUUUGUGAGUGUGUGCUGUUUACUUUUUGGGGCACCCAACUUUAAGUGUCUUAAAUGGUUUUGCUCAUGAUACACCCAGAAGUCACUGAGAUAGUUCCUACUUCCAGAGGCUAUGUGUUCAGACUUAAAAAUCAGGAUACUGUUUAGAGUUUGACAAAGAAGUUUUGGUCUGCUUCUGAGAGUCAGAGGAGUUUUGGGAGAUGCAAUUUGUUUGAAGAAACAUUAGAAUUUCUGGCACAUCUUCAUAGUUGUUGUUUUUGCAGGGGUGGUAAUGUGGCAGAAUUAAUAAAAUAAAAUGGUGAUCAUUUAAUGGCUUCUUUAUUGAUUGCCAGGAACGCUGG